RNAcentral lists this ribosomal RNA (301 nucleotides) under uncultured bacterium. RNAcentral describes it as "partial 16S ribosomal RNA". It matches the Rfam family "Bacterial small subunit ribosomal RNA", at positions 509 to 808 of the family's 1533-position model. The record is from RNAcentral.
CAGCAGCCACGGUAAUACGUAGGGUGCGAGCGUUAAUCGGAAUUACUGGGCGUAAAGCGUGCGCAGGCGGUUUUGUAAGACAGGCGUGAAAUCCCCGGGCUCAACCUGGGAAUGGCGCUUGUGACUGCAAAGCUAGAGUACGGCAGAGGGGGAUGGAAUUCCGCGUGUAGCAGUGAAUGCGUAGAUAUGCGGAGGAACACCGAUGGCGAAGGCAAUCCCCUGGGCCUGCACUGACGCUCAUGCACGAAAGCGUGGGGAGCAAACAGGAUUAGAUACCCGCGUAGUCCCUGUCUCUUAUACA